Molecule: transfer RNA, 77 nt
Filed under: Pseudoflavonifractor phocaeensis
Lineage: Bacteria; Bacillati; Bacillota; Clostridia; Eubacteriales; Oscillospiraceae
Also listed under: 17 other names
Description: tRNA-Met
Rfam family: tRNA
About the family: Transfer RNA (tRNA) molecules are approximately 80 nucleotides in length.
Source: RNAcentral
GGCGGCGUAGCUCAGUUGGCUAGAGCAUCCGGUUCAUACCCGGCAGGUCACAGGUUCAAAUCCCGUCGCCGCUACCA